AAGCGACCCCAGGUCAGGCAGCACCACCUGCUGAUUUUAAUCAUAUCAAUAA
Molecule: ribosomal RNA, 52 nt
Filed under: Hebecarpa costaricensis
Lineage: Eukaryota; Viridiplantae; Streptophyta; Magnoliopsida; Fabales; Polygalaceae
Description: partial 26S ribosomal RNA
Source: RNAcentral